AAAAAGGUAAGCUAAUAAAGCUCAUGGGUUCAUACCCCAUUUAUGAAGGUUUUAACCCUUUCCUCUUUA
RNAcentral lists this transfer RNA (69 nucleotides) under Euspilotus scissus. RNAcentral describes it as "tRNA-Met". It matches the Rfam family "tRNA". From Rfam's summary of the family: Transfer RNA (tRNA) molecules are approximately 80 nucleotides in length. Their secondary structure includes four short double-helical elements and three loops (D, anti-codon, and T loops). The record is from RNAcentral. Lineage: Eukaryota; Metazoa; Arthropoda; Insecta; Coleoptera; Histeridae.